This 85-nucleotide microRNA precursor is filed under the name Bombyx mori (domestic silkworm). Its description in RNAcentral is "mir-2807 microRNA precursor family". It matches the Rfam family "mir-2807 microRNA precursor family". The record is from Rfam by way of RNAcentral. Lineage: Eukaryota; Metazoa; Arthropoda; Insecta; Lepidoptera; Bombycidae.
UUAACUCGAAUAUGUAUGAAGUUGGAACAGCGCCUCUAGCGGCAAACGAAGGGAAGCUGUUCCAACUCCAUACAAAUUUAAGUUA